ACAUUUCUUUAAGUUAAAAUUUAAGGUAGUUUCUGCCCUAUGAUUUUAAUUUUAAAUGGCUGCAGUAUUUUGACUGUGCAAAGGUAGCAUAAUAAUUAGUUUCUUAAUUAGGGACUGGUAUGAAUGAAUUAAUGGGUAUCAUUUUUAUUAAUUAUAUUUUUUUAAUUUUAUUUUUAAGUUAAAAAGCUUAAUUAAAUAUUAGGGACGAUAAGACCCUAUAGAACUUUUUAAAUUAAAUUUUAUUUUAUAUUUAGUUAAGGUUUAUUUAUUAAAUUUUAUUUUAUUUUAUUGGGGUGGUAGAUAAAUUUAAACUUUAUCUUUAAAGUUCAUUAAUUUAUGUUUUUAUGAUCCUAUGUUAGAUUAAAAGAUUAAGUUACCUUAGGGAUAACAGCGUAAUUUUAAUGGAAAGUUCAUAUUUAUAUUAAAGUUUGCGACCUCGAUGUUGAAUUAAGGUUAAAUUUGGGGGUAGGUUUUCAAAUUUUAAGUCUGUUCGACUUUUAAAUUCUUACGUGAUCUG
RNAcentral lists this ribosomal RNA (517 nucleotides) under Anacornutipo lignosa. Its description in RNAcentral is "partial large subunit ribosomal RNA". Lineage: Eukaryota; Metazoa; Arthropoda; Insecta; Hemiptera; Cicadellidae. The record is from RNAcentral.